GCCAAGAUCAACGUCGAUGGAGCUGUGGCGCCCCACAGACGCAGCGGGGCGGUUUCGGCUGUGUGCCGAGAUCAUACAGGUCUAUAUUUGGGCUCCUCGGCGGUGGUUUUCAGAGGCAUCACUGAUCCCACAACCUUGGAAACAUUUGCUUGCAGGGAGGCAUUAGCACUUGCAGUUGAUCUACAUGAAACAAACUUAAUAGUAGCUUCGGAUUGCCAAGAUGAAAUAAUGCGUCAAAGGAACACUUUUGCUUCGGUCUCUUUUGUUCACGAGCGGAGAAACCAUAAUUUCGAAGCUCAUAAUCUCGCCAAAUUUUCUCGUAAUUUAGGAGUAGGUCAGCAUGUCUGA
Molecule: ribosomal RNA, 348 nt
Filed under: Triticum aestivum (bread wheat)
Lineage: Eukaryota; Viridiplantae; Streptophyta; Magnoliopsida; Poales; Poaceae
Description: partial small subunit ribosomal RNA
Source: RNAcentral